Molecule: ribosomal RNA, 440 nt
Filed under: uncultured bacterium
Lineage: Bacteria
Description: partial 16S ribosomal RNA
Rfam family: Bacterial small subunit ribosomal RNA
Source: RNAcentral
CCUACGGGUGACAGCAGUGGGGAAUAUUGCACAAUGGGGGAAACCCUGAUGCAGCGACGCCGCGUGAGUGAAGAAGUAUUUCGGUAUGCAAAGCUCUAUCAGCAGGGAAGAAAAUGACGGUACCUGUUUAAGAAGCCCCGGCUAACUACGUGCCAGCAGCCGCGGUAAUACGUAGGGGGCAAGCGUUAUCCGGAUUUACUGGGUGUAAAGGGAGCGUAGACGGCAGCACAAGUCUGGAGUGAAAUGCCGGGGCUUAACCCCGGAACUGCUUUGGAAACUGGGCAGCUAGAGUGCAGGAGAGGUAAGUGGAAUGCGUGGUGUAGCGGGGAAAUGCGUAGAUAUUAGGAGGAACACCAGUGGCGAAGGCGGCUUACUGGACUGUAACUGACGUUGAGGCUCGAAAGCGUGGGGAGCAAACAGGAUUAGAUACCCCUGUAGUC